Molecule: long non-coding RNA, 375 nt
Filed under: Phoenix dactylifera (date palm)
Lineage: Eukaryota; Viridiplantae; Streptophyta; Magnoliopsida; Arecales; Arecaceae
Description: long non-coding RNA (PDAC_LNC009176)
Source: RNAcentral
UCCCCCUUUUUGUCAUCAUACCAAAAAGGAGGUAAUCACACACAAUCAAUGGCACAACCAAUCAUCAAAUGGCACAGAAAUGAAGAUAAGAUGUCUACUCAUUGUAUUGAUAUGAAUGUGAAUACAUUUGAGCAUACAAUACGUAAAGCAAAGCAAUACAAAACAAAGCAAAAAGAACAUCUAUGGUCUCCUCGAGGAUGAAGCUCCCCCUCUCGAGGAUGCAUCUCCUCCUCUGGAGGAUGUGGCUCCUCCUCUCGAGGAUGGUGCUCCUCCUCUCAAUCGGCUCUGCUCCAUGAGGAGGGUGACUGCAUCUGUCACAUGUCCAAGCUGCGUGAUAAUAGACGUGGUGGCUCUGCUAUGUGUAGUGGAGAGCUC